GUGCAAUGGCAUAAGCCAGCUUGACUGCGAGCGUGACGGCGCGAGCAGGUGCGAAAGCAGGUCAUAGUGAUCCGGUGGUUCUGAAUGGAAGGGCCAUCGCUCAACGGAUAAAAGGUACUCCGGGGAUAACAGGCUGAUACCGCCCAAGAGUUCAUAUCGACGGCGGUGUUUGGCACCUCGAUGUCGGCUCAUCACAUCCUGGGGCUGAAGUAGGUCCCAAGGGUAUGGCUGUUCGCCAUUUAAAGUGGUACGCGAGCUGGGUUUAGAACGUCGUGAGACAGUUCGGUCCCUAUCUGCCGUGGGCGCUGGAGAACUGAGGGGGGCUGCUCCUAGUACGAGAGGACCGGAGUGGACGCAUCACUGGUGUUCGGGUUGUCAUGCCAAUGGCACUGCCCGGUAGCUAAAUGCGGAAGAGAUAAGUGCUGAAAGCAUCUAAGCACGAAACUUGCCCCGAGAUGAGUUCUCCCUGACUCCUUGAGAGUCCUGAAGGAACGUUGAAGACGACGACGUU
RNAcentral lists this ribosomal RNA (511 nucleotides) under Escherichia coli. Its description in RNAcentral is "partial 23S ribosomal RNA". It matches the Rfam family "Bacterial large subunit ribosomal RNA", at positions 2349 to 2854 of the family's 2925-position model. Lineage: Bacteria; Pseudomonadati; Pseudomonadota; Gammaproteobacteria; Enterobacterales; Enterobacteriaceae. The record is from RNAcentral.